UUGCCCAGACAACUAGGAUGUUGGCUUAGAAGCAGCCAUCAUUUAAAGAGUGCGUAAUAUCUCACUAGUCGAGUGACACUGCGCCGAAAAUGUACCGGGGCUAAACAUAUUACCGAAGCUGUGGAUUGUCCUUUGGACAAUGGUAGGAGAGCGUUCUAAGGGCGUUGAAGCAUGAUCGUAAGGACAUGUGGAGCGCUUAGAAGUGAGAAUGCCGGUGUGAGUAGCGAAAGACGGGUGAGAAUCCCGUCCACCGAUUGACUAAGGUUUCCAGAGGAAGGCUCGUCCGCUCUGGGUUAGUCGGGUCCUAAGCUGAGGCCGACAGGCGUAGGCGAUGGAUAACAGGUUGAUAUUCCUGUACCACCUAUAAUCGUUUUAAUCGAUGGGGGGACGCAGUAGGAUAGGCGAAGCGUGCGAUUGGAUUGCACGUCUAAGCAGUAAGGCUGAGUAUUAGGCAAAUCCGGUACUCGUUAAGGCUGAGCUGUGAUGGGGAGAAGACAUUGUGUCUUCGAGUCGUUGAUUUCACACUGCCGAGAAAAGCCUCUAGAUAGAAAAUAGGUGCCCGUACCGCAAACCGACACAGGUAGUCAAGAUGAGAAUUCUAAGGUGAGCGAGCGAACUCUCGUUAAGGAACUCGGCAAAAUGACCCCGUAACUUCGGGAGAAGGGGUGCUCUUUAGGGUUAACGCCCAGAAGAGCCGCAGUGAAUAGGCCCAAGCGACUGUUUAUCAAAAACACAGGUCUCUGCUAAACCGUAAGGUGAUGUAUAGGGGCUGACGCCUGCCCGGUGCUGGAAGGUUAAGAGGAGUGGUUAGCUUCUGCGAAGCUACGAAUCGAAGCCCCAGUAAACGGCGGCCGUAACUAUAACGGUCCUAAGGUAGCGAAAUUCCUUGUCGGGUAAGUUCCGACCCGCACGAAAGGCGUAACGAUUUGGGCACUGUCUCAACGAGAGACUCGGUGAAAUCAUAGUACCUGUGAAGAUGCAGGUUACCCGCGACAGGACGGAAAGACCCCGUGGAGCUUUACUGUAGCCUGAUAUUGAAAUUCGGCACAGCUUGUACAGGAUAGGUAGGAGCCUUUGAAACGUGAGCGCUAGCUUACGUGGAGGCGCUGGUGGGAUACUACCCUAGCUGUGUUGGCUUUCUAACCCGCACCACUUAUCGUGGUGGGAGACAGUGUCAGGCGGGCAGUUUGACUGGGGCGGUCGCCUCCUAAAAGGUAACGGAGGCGCUCAAAGGUUCCCUCAGAAUGGUUGGAAAUCAUUCAUAGAGUGUAAAGGCAUAAGGGAGCUUGACUGCGAGACCUACAAGUCGAGCAGGGUCGAAAGACGGACUUAGUGAUCCGGUGGUUCCGCAUGGAAGGGCCAUCGCUCAACGGAUAAAAGCUACCCCGGGGAUAACAGGCUUAUCUCCCCCAAGAGUUCACAUCGACGGGGAGGUUUGGCACCUCGAUGUCGGCUCAUCGCAUCCUGGGGCUGUAGUCGGUCCCAAGGGUUGGGCUGUUCGCCCAUUAAAGCGGUACGCGAGCUGGGUUCAGAACGUCGUGAGACAGUUCGGUCCCUAUCCGUCGUGGGCGUAGGAAAUUUGAGAGGAGCUGUCCUUAGUACGAGAGGACCGGGAUGGACAUACCUCUGGUGUACCAGUUGUCGUGCCAACGGCAUAGCUGGGUAGCUAUGUGUGGACGGGAUAAGUGCUGAAAGCAUCUAAGCAUGAAGCCCCCCUCAAGAUGAGAUUUCCCAACUUCGGUUAUAAGAUCCCUCAAAGAUGAUGAGGUUAAUAGGUUCGAGGUGGAAGCAUGGUGACAUGUGGAGCUGACGAAUACUAAUCGAUCGAAGACUUAAUCAA
RNAcentral lists this ribosomal RNA (1840 nucleotides) under Staphylococcus aureus M0711. RNAcentral's name for it is "bacterial LSU rRNA". It matches the Rfam family "Bacterial large subunit ribosomal RNA", at positions 1081 to 2925 of the family's 2925-position model. Lineage: Bacteria; Bacillati; Bacillota; Bacilli; Caryophanales; Staphylococcaceae. The record is from RNAcentral.